This 82-nucleotide transfer RNA is filed under the name Pricia antarctica. Its description in RNAcentral is "Maribacter sp. ZS1-8 tRNA". It matches the Rfam family "tRNA". From Rfam's summary of the family: Transfer RNA (tRNA) molecules are approximately 80 nucleotides in length. Their secondary structure includes four short double-helical elements and three loops (D, anti-codon, and T loops). RNAcentral also lists the same sequence under 5 other names. Lineage: Bacteria; Pseudomonadati; Bacteroidota; Flavobacteriia; Flavobacteriales; Flavobacteriaceae. The record is from Rfam by way of RNAcentral.
GCAGGCGUGAUGGAAUUGGUAGACAUGCUAGACUUAGGAUCUAGUGCCGCAAGGUGUGAGAGUUCGAGUCUCUCCGCCUGUA